GAGUUUGAUCCUGGCUCAGAUUGAACGCUGGCGGCAGGCCUAACACAUGCAAGUCGGGCGGUAGAGAGAAGCUUGCUUCUCUUGAGAGCGGCGGACGGGUGAGUAAUGCCUAGGAAUCUGCCUGGUAGUGGGGGAUAACGCUCGGAAACGGACGCUAAUACCGCAUACGUCCUACGGGAGAAAGCAGGGGACCUUCGGGCCUUGCGCUAUCAGAUGAGCCUAGGUCGGAUUAGCUAGUUGGUGAGGUAAUGGCUCACCAAGGCGACGAUCCGUAACUGGUCUGAGAGGAUGAUCAGUCGCACUGGAACUGAGACACGGUCCAGACUCCUACGGGAGGCAGCAGUGGGGAAUAUUGGACAAUGGGCGAAAGCCUGAUCCAGCCAUGCCGCGUGUGUGAAGAAGGUCUUCGGAUUGUAAAGCACUUUAAGUUGGGAGGAAGGGCAGUAAAUUAAUACUUUAGCUGUUUUGACGUUUACCGACAGAAUAAGCACCGGCUAACUCUGUGCCAGCAGCCG
RNAcentral lists this ribosomal RNA (515 nucleotides) under uncultured bacterium. RNAcentral describes it as "bacterial SSU rRNA". It matches the Rfam family "Bacterial small subunit ribosomal RNA", at positions 9 to 517 of the family's 1533-position model. The record is from RNAcentral.